This 495-nucleotide long non-coding RNA is filed under the name Homo sapiens (human). RNAcentral describes it as "non-protein coding lnc-SAMD11-7:28". Lineage: Eukaryota; Metazoa; Chordata; Mammalia; Primates; Hominidae. The record is from RNAcentral.
CUACUUAAGUCCUGAAAAUUUCCACAAGGCUGAGUCAAAUCUGCGUUUCAUCAUCUAUAAGAAAGGUACCUAUCGAGAACACCCUGCUGGCCAGUGUGUAAAUAUCUAAAGGAGGACUCAGAAAACACCGGGGAAGUCCAGCCUGCACGUGGUGGCUGGGCUUCAGUGAAGCAUGCAGCACAACAGGAGUUGUAAGUAGUAGUUACAUCAGCAGCCCUGGAAAUUCUGCUCAGAACCAAACUGAACAAAUAACAUUAUCUAAGGCUUACAAUUAUUUAACUCCCUAAAUUUUCUGUCCUCCCAGUAGCACUUUCAAAUGCCUAAAAGCAAUUAAAAGAAACAUUUUUCCAAUGUCUCACAGAACCAUUAGAAACACAAAAUUAAUAGCUUCAUAAACUAUAGCUUCUAUUUUAUCCAUAAUAGAAUGAAGGUGCAUAAACCACAUAGUAAUUAAUCUUUGGACAAAAGCAAACAAUAAAUGGAAUAUAUGGCUAA